CAAGGACGGUACUUACGUAAGCAACGUCUUUGAAAGUUCACAAACAAAGACGGUGCAAGCAACGUCCACAAACAAAGACGGUGCAAGCAACGUCGUAUUUGUUUGUGAACUUUCAAAGACGCUGCUUAUGUAAGCACCGUCUUUU
Molecule: microRNA precursor, 145 nt
Filed under: Glycine max (soybean)
Lineage: Eukaryota; Viridiplantae; Streptophyta; Magnoliopsida; Fabales; Fabaceae
Description: miR4368b stem-loop (gma-MIR4368b)
Source: miRBase by way of RNAcentral